CAAUGGCGUAUAUUAACGUUGUUGCAGUUAAAAAGCUCGUAGUUGGAUUUCUGGAGGGAGCGUCGGCCCGUAUUUACGAGUGCGUGACGUCUCUGUCCAUCCUUGCGGGAAGGCACGGCAUUGAUUUGUUGUGUCGGAUCGCAUCAUUUACUGUGAAAAAAUUAGAGUGUUCAAAGCAGGCUUUCGCUUGAAUACAUUAGCAUGGAAUAAUAAGAUAGGACUUUGGUGCUAUUUUGUUGGUUGAGCCUAAAGUAAUGAUUAAUAGGGAUAGUUGGGGGCACCUGUAUUGCGUUGUCAGAGGUGAAAUUCUUGGAUUUACGCAAGACAAACAGCUGCGAAAGCGUCUGCCAAGGAUGUUUUCAUUA
This 365-nucleotide ribosomal RNA is filed under the name uncultured eukaryote. RNAcentral's name for it is "partial 18S ribosomal RNA". It matches the Rfam family "Eukaryotic small subunit ribosomal RNA", at positions 592 to 975 of the family's 1831-position model. The record is from RNAcentral.